Molecule: non-coding RNA, 219 nt
Organism: Vicia faba (fava bean)
Lineage: Eukaryota; Viridiplantae; Streptophyta; Magnoliopsida; Fabales; Fabaceae
Source: the annotation of a GenBank genome assembly
AUGGGUCUGAAAUCAGUAAUUUGGAGGGGUGUUGGAAGUAAUUUGCUUAGGCCCAACAGAAGUGGUAUGCCUGAUCCUGUGUGGGAGACUCUGGAGAGAGCACGGGAGCUUCGCUGGAGAAGAAGGGUCUGCCGCGCCAAAAAUCGCCUUGUGGUGGCGGAAACGAUAUUUAAGGGGGGUUUCAUAAACCCUAGGUGCUCAGGCGAUGAAAAUCAGUGA